CUCCAGCAACUUUAAUACUCUAUGAGAGACUACAAAGGUCUUGAGCGUGCAAUGCACACUUCAAAGCCUUUGAGUUCUUCCAAAAAAUAUACCUCUUGAGCCUGCAGAUUGGGUAGCGCAGACUGCAAACUUCAAAGGUCUCUAUCUUUAUUCUAAAUAUUUUAAUGCUGUCAAUCAAUCAUGGAAUUUGGAAGAACUCCCAACGUCAGAAAAGAUGGUUCAAUACUUCAAUUUUGAGAAGAAAAACCUAAUUGUUUUCUCUUACAAAUUAGUAGCAGCAGAUAUUGCUUCAAGCCUUCAACCUUGGCUUCAUCUGCGUCGGCGAGCGAUUCCUUGCCUCCUCUCAGCUCUGCGAGCCUUCUGCCUCCUCUGACUCUAUCCAGUACUGGUCCUGGUCCAAGCCACAAGUUGAUGUCAAGGGUUUCCCAGAAGAACCGAUCAAUCCGCUCGCAGCGAACAGCGAAGGCACGUCGGGGAAUAUUUACUUGUGGAAAGUUAACUUUUCUAAUGGAAAAACCGUUACCCUACGGGGAAUCCGCUACCGGUUACGGCAGGGAAUACCCGUUCGUGCUUUUUACGGUUUCAGGUACGGAGGAAACAAACGGGUUCAGUUAUGGAAAUGGCACAUCCAAACCCAAUCUGCCCUCGUUGCCAUCCCUAGCAGCAACAAAAGCAAACGGAAUACAAUGGGAGUUACUGCAAUAGUGAGAGGGAGGGAGAGAGAUUAAAGAUGAGUGAUCAGUUAAAGCUAUAAUUUUUUAAACAUGUUCUGCAAUAUGAAUCAUUCAGCUAUCACGAUAACAUGCUUGAAAUAAACAAAAUCACCAACAUUCAUGAUCA
Molecule: long non-coding RNA, 840 nt
Organism: Pyrus x bretschneideri (Chinese white pear)
Lineage: Eukaryota; Viridiplantae; Streptophyta; Magnoliopsida; Rosales; Rosaceae
Exons: 2
Source: RefSeq, a predicted model, not a curated record